GAUGAAGAACGUAGCGAAAUGCGAUAAGUAAUGUGAAUUGCAGAAUUCAGUGAAUCAUCGAAUCUUUGAACGCACAUUGCGCCCCCUGGUAUUCCGGGGGGCAUGCCUGUUCGAGCGUCAUUUCACCACUCAAGCCUCGCUUGGUAUUGGGCAACGCGGUCCGCCGCGUGCCUCAAAUCGUCCGGCUGGGUCUUCUGUCCCCUAAGCGUUGUGGAAACUAUUCGCUAAAGGGUGUUCGGGAGGCUACGCCGUAAAACAACCCCAUUUCUCAGGUUGACCUCGGAUCAGGUAGGGAUACCCGCUGAACUUAAGAAUAUCAAUAAGCGGAGGA
RNAcentral lists this unclassified non-coding RNA (331 nucleotides) under soil metagenome. RNAcentral describes it as "partial contains 5.8S ribosomal RNA, internal transcribed spacer 2, and large subunit ribosomal RNA". The stretch from base 1 to 120 matches the Rfam family "5.8S ribosomal RNA", at positions 35 to 154 of the family's 154-position model. The record is from RNAcentral.